GCUGGCGUAGCUCAGUUGGUAGAGCAGCGGUUUUGUAAACCGCAGGUCGGGGGUUCAAGUCCCUUCGCCAGCUCCA
RNAcentral lists this transfer RNA (76 nucleotides) under Planctomycetota bacterium. Its description in RNAcentral is "tRNA-Thr". It matches the Rfam family "tRNA". From Rfam's summary of the family: Transfer RNA (tRNA) molecules are approximately 80 nucleotides in length. Their secondary structure includes four short double-helical elements and three loops (D, anti-codon, and T loops). Further hydrogen bonds mediate the characteristic L-shaped molecular structure. tRNAs have two regions of fundamental functional importance: the anti-codon, which is responsible for specific mRNA codon recognition, and the 3' end, to which the tRNAs corresponding amino acid is attached (by aminoacyl-tRNA synthetases). tRNAs cope with the degeneracy of the genetic code in two manners: having more than one tRNA (with a specific anti-codon) for a particular amino acid; and 'wobble' base-pairing, i.e. permitting non-standard base-pairing at the 3rd anti-codon position. RNAcentral also lists the same sequence under 2 other names. Lineage: Bacteria; Pseudomonadati; Planctomycetota. The record is from RNAcentral.